Molecule: ribosomal RNA, 254 nt
Filed under: uncultured bacterium
Lineage: Bacteria
Description: partial 16S ribosomal RNA
Rfam family: Bacterial small subunit ribosomal RNA
Source: RNAcentral
UACGGAGGGUGCAAGCGUUGCUCGGAAUUACUGGGCGUAAAGCGCGUGUAGGUGGUCUGCUAUGUCUCGUGUGAAAGCCCUCUGCCUAACGGAGGAUGUGCGCGAGAAACUGGCGGACUUUGAGUGCGGGAGAAAAGGGCGGAAUUCCCGGUGUAGAGGUGAAAUUCGUAGAUAUCGGGAGGAACACCAGUAGCGAAAGCGGCUCUUUAGACCGACACUGACACUCUGACGCGAAAGCGUGGGGAGCAAACAGG